GUCGAGCGGUAAGGCCCUUCGGGGUACACGAGCGGCGAACGGGUGAGUAACACGUGAGCAAUCUGCCCUUCUCUUUGGAAUAACCAUUGGAAACGAUGGCUAAUGCCGAAUAUGACCUCCUUUCGCAUGUUUGGAGGUGGAAAGCUCCGGCGGAGAAGGAUGAGCUCGCGGCCUAUCAGCUUGUUGGUGAGGUAAUGGCUCACCAAGGCAUUGACGGGUAGCCGGCCUGAGAGGGUGACCGGCCACACUGGGACUGAGACACGGCCCAGACUCCUACGGGAGGCAGCAGUGGGGAAUAUUGGACAAUGGGCGAAAGCCUGAUCCAGCAACGCCGCGUGAGGGAUGACGGCCUUCGGGUUGUAAACCUCUUUCAGCAGGGACGAAGCGAAAGUGACGGUACCUGCAGAAGAAGGACCGGCCAACUACGUGCCAGCAGCCGCGGUAAUACGUAGGGUCCGAGCGUUGUCCGGAAUUAUUGGGCGUAAAGGGCUCGUAGGCGGUUUGUCGCGUCGGGAGUGAAAACUCAGGGCUCAACCCUGAGCGUGCUUCCGAUACGGGCAGACUAGAGGUAUUCAGGGGAGAACGGAAUUCCUGGUGUAGCGGUGGAAUGCG
This 612-nucleotide ribosomal RNA is filed under the name Aeromicrobium sp. UA-VH0424. Its description in RNAcentral is "bacterial SSU rRNA". It matches the Rfam family "Bacterial small subunit ribosomal RNA", at positions 61 to 690 of the family's 1533-position model. Lineage: Bacteria; Bacillati; Actinomycetota; Actinomycetes; Propionibacteriales; Nocardioidaceae. The record is from RNAcentral.